CAGAGGGUGCAAGCGUUGUUCGGAAUUAUUGGGCGUAAAGGGCGCGUAGGCGGUUCGGCAAGUCUCUAGUGAAAUCUCUGGGCUCAACUCAGAGUCUGCUGGGGAAACUGCCGGGCUCGAGUGUGGGAGAGGAGAGUGGAAUUUCCGGUGUAGCGGUGAAAUGCGUAGAUAUCGGGAGGAACACCUGUGGCGAAAGCGGCUCUCUGGACCACAACUGACGCUGAGGCGCGGAAGCUAGGGGAGCAAACAGGAUUAGAUACCCUGGUAGUCCUAGCCCUAAACGAUGAUUGCUUGGUGUGGUAGGUACCCAAUCCUACUGUGCCGAAGCUAACGCGAUAAGCAAUCCGCCUCGGGGAGUACGGUCGCAAGGCUG
This 373-nucleotide ribosomal RNA is filed under the name uncultured organism. RNAcentral's name for it is "bacterial SSU rRNA". It matches the Rfam family "Bacterial small subunit ribosomal RNA", at positions 526 to 896 of the family's 1533-position model. The record is from RNAcentral.